Nylanderia fulva is the source of this 225-nucleotide non-coding RNA. NCBI's taxonomy places the organism in Eukaryota, Metazoa, Arthropoda, Insecta, Hymenoptera, Formicidae. The record is from RefSeq and is a predicted model, not a curated record.
CGUAAAACUAAUUCAGGAAAUAAACGAACACGUUAAAUUUUUUAAGGUCUAUGCAAAGACAUUAUUUGAUGAAAUAAGAGAAAUGGAUUCCAUAAUGCUGAAUUCUGACAAAGCUGAAAGCAAGAUAUCAAUUCGCAAAAGUCAAAUCGAAAGACAGAGACAGUAUCUUAGGUUUUUCUUAAUGUUUAAAUAAUUUUUAAUUAUAUUAUCAUCGUCAGUCUUGAU